GCGCCUGUGCGGUCCCUCGGUAUUGCUGUCCAGGGUGCUGACUGCGGGCCGCCGCAGUCCCCGAGGCGAGCCCACCCCCGCCAGCCCUCCGCAGAGCCCUCCCACACAGCACGACCCGCCCGCCUCCCGCCAGCCUGCAGUUGACGUGGAGCAGGCGGCAUAAAUCAAGUCCGCGGGGCAUGGAGGCUGCUGCCGCUGCUGCAGCUCAGCUAGCCCGGGGCGGGAACUCCCCCUUCUCCUUUCGCCUCCCCAGCUCCCACAACCUGCCCUCUCCUUAAUUCUUCCCUGGAUAAUAGCGCCUUAACGACAAUAGUCAAACUAACAGGGUCAGAACGGCAGGGUUUGUUUGUUUUGGUCUACAGAAAAAAAAAAAAAAAAAACAAAAACCCAGCAGCCUAAAGACCUCUGAAAACUGCAUCGCAAGAUGGAAGAGAGAGAGUCCCACUACUGUUUCGAAAGAGUAAGUUAUUAUUCGAAACCAUGGAAGCCAAAUGCAGGGGACACUAGCACCAUAAAAUGAAUGAAGCUGAGUGCUUGAAAGACUGCUAGGAGGAGACACCAAGAACACCUCAUGAAUCUAAUUGGAGCAUUAUAAAGAAGAUUGAAUCUGGAUUCAAAUGCAGUUUCUUACAUAAGCCUGUGGCCAACAGGUGACCAAGGAUGCUGAGACAUUACCUGGGCCAGGAACAAUGUCCAGUGAGGCAUACAUCAAUCCCUGGAAAAUAGGAUGUUAAUGACCAGGACUAUGCAAGAAGCAAAACAGUUUGACAAGUGAGAGGACAACUAAGGGAUGUGCAAG
This is a long non-coding RNA of Neofelis nebulosa (Clouded leopard), 799 nucleotides long. RefSeq lists it as uncharacterized. The record is from RefSeq and is a predicted model, not a curated record. Lineage: Eukaryota; Metazoa; Chordata; Mammalia; Carnivora; Felidae. The transcript has 4 exons.